GAGCUCCACUGUGACAUGGAUGUACAGGCAAAAUCCCGUAAGCUGGAUCAGCUUCUUAAAGUACAACAAAUUCCCUGCUAUCGGUCUUCUUCAGUGAGGACCAAAUUUCCCCGCAAGGAAAGUACCUGACUGUUUUGACACUUGCUCAAUCCCCAUGAGGAAAACUAAGUGUUUCCUGUUCAUUAAGAAAAAUCGAGCUCACUCUUGUUGGUGCGGAGCAGAGACUGGCGCCCCACUCCCAGCAGUGAGUUGACUCCUGGCACGCUGGCAGGAACCUCUCUCUCCAAAAGAGGACCAACUCGCUCACACACUCGCAACAGGUGAUCUGGAGAAGUGUGUUUGUACAGUUUGACCUGUAUAAACACACAACCAGUACGUUAAAGACACACAUCUAUACCACACACACACAAAAAAGCACUUUAUAUUCUAAAUAUCCCACGCACAGUACAUUCAUCCAGACAAUAACACUUCAAAACAAAAUUAUAUUUUAUCUCAGCACCAAAACCUUGCACUUAACAAUUACUAACAUUUUAUGACACAUUUCUAUAAAAACACAACGUAUGCCUACAUGAUGAGAAUUUAUAUCACUUAUAUUUAGAGUAAAACAAAAACACACACAUGUGACUGAUCUUAAUAUCCGGGAUGUUAGUAUUUCGAGUCUCGUGACUCAGAGUUCAUCCAGUAUUAAGGGAUUGUGCCAUUUUGAACAUCAGUCAAAUCAGGUGAUGAAUAAGAACACAGAACUCUUUAUGAGGUGCUUCAUUUUCCACACUGCUCUUUAUCUGCCUGAUCAGCAGCCUAUUCCAACGCCUGGCUACUAAUUAAUGAGCUUUUAAUUGCAUUUAGCAGCAUCCUAUUGGACGACACGAGACAGUCCCCCGCUCAAGCAAACACACGCGUGCGCACACACAGAAACAAAUAACCAUGUGCUCAAUGAAGCAAACACACACCGGUAUCCGUGUGCGAACACUGUGUUUGAUUUGUGUCUUAAACCCUCUUACGACCACGUGCCAUGAAACAAAAUCACGGUGUGAUCAGACGACAUGGAGACUAAUGAGUCUUGCUUCGUCCUGCAGUCAUAAGGAUACAUAAUAAUGAUUCAUGAUACACGCUUUGAAAGAAUCAUGAUUAAAAUGAUAAUUACUGUGCGUAAAUAUAACAAUCAUGAACACCGAGUCACUUGCAUUGUUGCAGUUUCAGUUGAUGUCACAGCCUUAAUUUAUUAAUUACUGCUUUUAUAUAUAUAUAAAA
This is a long non-coding RNA of Neoarius graeffei (lesser salmon catfish), 1251 nucleotides long. RefSeq lists it as uncharacterized. The transcript is spliced from 3 exons. The record is from RefSeq and is a predicted model, not a curated record. NCBI's taxonomy places the organism in Eukaryota, Metazoa, Chordata, Actinopteri, Siluriformes, Ariidae.